GGAGGUAAAAGUCGUAACAAGGUUUCCGUAGGUGAACCUGCGGAAGGAUCAUUACAGAGUUCAUGCCCUCACGGGUAGAUCUCCCACCCUUGAAUAUUUAUACCUUAGUUGCUUUGGCAGGCCGUGGAAACACCAUGGGCUCCGGCUUAUGCGUGCCUGCCAGAGGAAACAAACUCUGUUUUUAGUGAUGUCUGAGUACUAUAUAAUAGUUAAAACUUUCAACAACGGACCUCUUGGUUCUG
RNAcentral lists this unclassified non-coding RNA (242 nucleotides) under plant metagenome. RNAcentral describes it as "partial contains small subunit ribosomal RNA, internal transcribed spacer 1, and 5.8S ribosomal RNA". The stretch from base 1 to 54 matches the Rfam family "Eukaryotic small subunit ribosomal RNA", at positions 1778 to 1831 of the family's 1831-position model. The record is from RNAcentral.